CAGUAGCCGCGGUAAUACGUAGGGUGCGAGCGUUAAUCGGAAUUACUGGGCGUAAAGCGUGCGCAGGCGGUUUUGUAAGACAGGCGUGAAAUCCCCGGGCUUAACCUGGGAAUGGCGCUUGUGACUGCAAGGCUAGAGUGCGUCAGAGGGGGGUAGAAUUCCACGUGUAGCAGUGAAAUGCGUAGAUAUGUGGAGGAAUACCGAUGGCGAAGGCAGCCCCCUGGGAUAACACUGGCGCUCAUGCACGAAAGCGUGGGGAGCAAACAGGAUUAGAUACCCCCGUAGUCCCUGUCUCUUAUUA
Molecule: ribosomal RNA, 301 nt
Filed under: uncultured bacterium
Lineage: Bacteria
Description: partial 16S ribosomal RNA
Rfam family: Bacterial small subunit ribosomal RNA
Source: RNAcentral